This is a long non-coding RNA of Monopterus albus (swamp eel), 313 nucleotides long. RefSeq lists it as uncharacterized. The record is from RefSeq and is a predicted model, not a curated record. The transcript has 3 exons. NCBI's taxonomy places the organism in Eukaryota, Metazoa, Chordata, Actinopteri, Synbranchiformes, Synbranchidae.
AGGUCAAUACUGAGUGGGCAACAAGCGGUUAGUCAGAUGACCAACUGGACACGAGCCGAGUCCACGCCCAGUAUUGCCAGUUCACCGCCCAGUCAGAGACGUGCUGCCAGUUGAUGGUUACUCUGGUACCACUGGCAACUGUUUGCUGGAUGGAGCCUUACAGCUCUGGUGUAAACUGCACCGUGAUGAUACACACCGUGAUGUUCAGCACCUCUGACAGAGACACCAACAGCUGGGCUCGAUGGAGGUGGCUGGUGACAAGGCGCUGCUACUCAGCCAAUGCCUGUGGCCAGAGCCUACAUGUGGCGGCGAG